AGUGAACGCUGGCGGUAGGCCUAACACAUGCAAGUCGAACGGCAGCACAGUAAGAGCUUGCUCUUACGGGUGGCGAGUGGCGGACGGGUGAGGAAUACAUCGUAAUCUACUUUUUCGUGGGGGAUAACGUAGGGAAACUUACGCUAAUACCGCAUACGACCUACGGGUGAAAGCAGGGGAUCUUCGGACCUUGCGCGAAUGAAUGAGCCGAUGUCGGAUUAGCUAGUUGGCGGGGUAAAGGCCCACCAAGGCGACGAUCCGUAGCUGGUCUGAGAGGAUGAUCAGCCACACUGGAACUGAGACACGGUCCAGACUCCUACGGGAGGCAGCAGUGGGGAAUAUUGGACAAUGGGCGCAAGCCUGAUCCAGCCAUACCGCGUGGGUGAAGAAGGCCUUCGGGUUGUAAAGCCCUUUUGUUGGGAAAGAAAAGCAGCAGGUUAAUACCCCGCUGUUCUGACGGUACCCAAAGAAUAAGCACCGGCUAACUUCGUG
Molecule: ribosomal RNA, 492 nt
Filed under: uncultured bacterium
Lineage: Bacteria
Description: partial 16S ribosomal RNA
Rfam family: Bacterial small subunit ribosomal RNA
Source: RNAcentral